UAGGGAAUCUUCGGCAAUGGGGGCAACCCUGACCGAGCAACGCCGCGUGAGUGAAGAAGGUUUUCGGUUCGUAAAGCUCUGUCGUAAGAGAAGAACGUGUGUGAGAGUGGAAAGUUCACACAGUGACGGUAACUUACCAGAAAGGGACGGCUAACUACGUGCCAGCAGCCGCGGUAAUACGUAGGUCCCGAGCGUUGUCCGGACGUAUUGGGCGUCAAGCGAGCGCAGGCGGUUUAAUAAGUCUGAAGUUAAAGGCAGUGGCUUAACCGUUGUUCGCUUUGAAAACUGUUAAGCUUCAGUGCAGUAGGUGAGAGUGGACUUCCAUGUGUAGCGGUGAAAUGCGUAGAUAUAUGGAGGAACUCCGGUGGCGAAAGCGGCUCUCUGGUCUGUAACUGACGCUGAGGCUCGAAAGCGUAGGGAGCAAACAGG
This 429-nucleotide ribosomal RNA is filed under the name bacterium. Its description in RNAcentral is "partial 16S ribosomal RNA". It matches the Rfam family "Bacterial small subunit ribosomal RNA", at positions 355 to 776 of the family's 1533-position model. The record is from RNAcentral.